RNAcentral lists this ribosomal RNA (497 nucleotides) under uncultured bacterium. Its description in RNAcentral is "partial 16S ribosomal RNA". It matches the Rfam family "Bacterial small subunit ribosomal RNA", at positions 28 to 507 of the family's 1533-position model. The record is from RNAcentral.
GACGAACGCUGGCGGCGUGCCUAAUACAUGCAAGUAGAACGCUGAAGAGAGGAGCUUGCUCUUCUUGGAUGAGUUGCGAACGGGUGAGUAACGCGUAGGUAACCUGCCUGGUAGCGGGGGAUAACUAUUGGAAACGAUAGCUAAUACCGCAUAAAAUUGAUUAUUGCAUGAUACUUAAUUGAAAGAUGCAACUGCAUCACUACCAGAUGGACCUGCGUUGUAUUAGCUAGUUGGUGGGGUAACGGCUCACCAAGGCGACGAUGCAUAGCCGACCUGAGAGGGUGAGAGGCAACACUGGGAUGGGGACACGGCCAAGAAUACUGCGGGAGAGAGCAGUAGGGGAUCCUCGGCAAUGGGGGGAACGCUGAACGAGCAACGCCGCGUGAGUGAAGAAGGUUUUCGGAUCGUGAAGCUCUGUUGUGAGAGAAGAACGGGUGUGAGAGUGGAAAGUGCAGACUGUGACAGUAUCGUACCAGAAAGGGACGGCUAACUACGUG